Molecule: ribosomal RNA, 1343 nt
Filed under: uncultured bacterium
Lineage: Bacteria
Description: 16S ribosomal RNA
Rfam family: Bacterial small subunit ribosomal RNA
Source: RNAcentral
GACGAACGCUGGCGGCGUGCUUAACACAUGCAAGUCGAACGGAAAGGCCCUGCUUUUGUGGGGUGCUCGAGUGGCGAACGGGUGAGUAACACGUGAGUAACCUGCCCUUGACUUUGGGAUAACUUCAGGAAACUGGGGCUAAUACCGGAUAGGAGCUCCUGCUGCAUGGUGGGGGUUGGAAAGUUUCGGCGGUUGGGGAUGGACUCGCGGCUUAUCAGCUUGUUGGUGGGGUAGUGGCUUACCAAGGCUUUGACGGGUAGCCGGCCUGAGAGGGUGACUGGCCACAUUGGGACUGAGAUACGGCCCAGACUCCUACGGGAGGCAGCAGUGGGGAAUAUUGCACAAUGGGCGGAAGCCUGAUGCAGCAACGCCGCGUGCGGGAUGACGGCCUUCGGGUUGUAAGCCGCUUUCGCCUGUGACGAAGCGUGAGUGACGGUAAUGGGUAAAGAAGCACCGGCUAACUACGUGCCAGCAGCCGCGGUGAUACGUAGGGUGCGAGCGUUGUCCGGAUUUAUUGGGCGUAAAGGGCUCGUAGGUGGUUGAUCGCGUCGGAAGUGUAAUCUUGGGGCUUAACCCUGAGCGUGCUUUCGAUACGGGUUGACUUGAGGAAGGUAGGGGAGAAUGGAAUUCCUGGUGGAGCGGUGGAAUGCGCAGAUAUCAGGAGGAACACCAGUGGCGAAGGCGGUUCUCUGGGCCUUUCCUGACGCUGAGGAGCGAAAGCGUGGGGAGCGAACAGGCUUAGAUACCCUGGUAGUCCACGCUGUAAACGGUGGGUACUAGGUGUGGGGUCCAUUCCACGGGUUCCGUGCCGUAGCUAACGCUUUAAGUACCCCGCCUGGGGAGUACGGCCGCAAGGCUAAAACUCAAAGGAAUUGACGGGGCCCCGCACAAGCGGCGGAGCAUGCGGAUUAAUUCGAUGCAACGCGUAGAACCUUACCUGGGUUUGACAUGGAUCGGGAGUGCUCAGAGAUGGGUGUGCCUCUUUUGGGGUCGGUUCACAGGUGGUGCAUGGCUGUCGUCAGCUCGUGUCGUGAGAUGUUGGGUUAAGUCCCGCAACGAGCGCAACCCUUGUUCACUGUUGCCAGCACGUUAUGGUGGGGACUCAGUGGAGACCGCCGGGGUCAACUCGGAGGAAGGUGGGGAUGACGUCAAGUCAUCAUGCCCCUUAUGUCCAGGGCUUCACGCAUGCUACAAUGGCUGGUACAGAGAGUGGCGAGCCUGUGAGGGUGAGCGAAUCUCGGAAAGCCGGUCUCAGUUCGGAUUGGGGUCUGCAACUCGACCUCAUGAAGUCGGAGUCGCUAGUAAUCGCAGAUCAGCAACGCUGCGGUGAAUACGUUCCCGGG